UCAUAAGUCAAUAACAUAUAAAGCAAAAACAUAAUUAAAGCACAAAAGGAUCAAACUCCUAUUCUUCAACAAGAUCACAGUCACAGUGUAUAGAAAUUAAAAAAAUAGAGUAGCAAUAAAAUUGGAAAAAAAGCAGAGUACUAAUAGAAAUUGAAAAAAAAACAGAGCAGUUAUAGAGAUUGAAAAACAGAGAAGCAACAGAAAUUGAAAAAAAAAGCAGCAAUAAAACUAUAGAAAAGAACACAGCAACAACCAAAAAUAGAAAAAAAAUAUAGUAGUAGAGCAGUCGCAGCAAUAAAAAUAUAGAAAAAAACACAGCACCAACCAAAAAUAGAAAAAAAAUAGUCACAGAGUAGUCCCAGCCUCGCAGCAAUAAAAAUAUAGAAAAAAACACAACAGUAACCAAAAAUAGAAAAACAAACAGUCACAGAGUAGUCCCAGC
RNAcentral lists this long non-coding RNA (442 nucleotides) under Solanum tuberosum (potato). Its description in RNAcentral is "long non-coding RNA (STUB_LNC008947)". Lineage: Eukaryota; Viridiplantae; Streptophyta; Magnoliopsida; Solanales; Solanaceae. The record is from RNAcentral.